CAUGCAAGUCGAGCGAAGUUUUGAAAAGCUUGCUUUUCAAAACUUAGCGGCGGACGGGUGAGUAACACGUGGGCAACCUGCCCUUGAGACGGGGAUAACUCCGGGAAACCGGAGCUAAUACCGGAUAACACAUAUCUUCGCAUGAGGACAUGUUAGAAGGUGGCUUUUAGCUACCACUCAAGGAUGGGCCCGCGGCGCAUUAGCUAGUUGGUGAGGUAACGGCUCACCAAGGCAACGAUGCGUAGCCGACCUGAGAGGGUGAUCGGCCACACUGGGACUGAGACACGGCCCAGACUCCUACGGGAGGCAGCAGUAGGGAAUCUUCCGCAAUGGACGAAAGUCCGACGGAGCAACGCCGCGUGAGUGAUGAAGGUUUUCGGAUCGUAAAGCUCUGUUGUUAGGGAAGAACAAGUAUCUGUUGAAUAAGCAGGUACCUUGACGGUACCUAACCAGAAAGCCACGGCUAACUACGUGCCAGCAGCCGCGGUAAUACGUAGGUGGCAAGCGUUGUCCGGAAUUAUUGGGCGUAAAGCGCGCGCAGGCGGUUCCUUAAGUCUGAUGUGAAAGCCCACGGCUCAACCGUGGAGGGUCAUUGGAAACUGGGGAACUUGAGUGCAGAAGAGGAGAGCGGAAUUCCACGUGUAGCGGUGAAAUGCGUAGAGAUGUGGAGGAACACCAGUGGCGAAGGCGGCUCUCUGGUCUGUAACUGACGCUGA
RNAcentral lists this ribosomal RNA (716 nucleotides) under uncultured bacterium. RNAcentral's name for it is "bacterial SSU rRNA". It matches the Rfam family "Bacterial small subunit ribosomal RNA", at positions 54 to 749 of the family's 1533-position model. The record is from RNAcentral.